RNAcentral lists this long non-coding RNA (2116 nucleotides) under Sus scrofa (pig). RNAcentral's name for it is "lncRNA (ENSSSCG00005024266.1)". The record is from RNAcentral. Lineage: Eukaryota; Metazoa; Chordata; Mammalia; Artiodactyla; Suidae.
AUACAAAUGCAGGGAAAAGGCUCCCUCUCCCCCUUGUACUCUGAAAGGGAAUGUUUGGCAGGGUCCUUAGAGCAUGGUCUCUGAAGUCAUGCUGCUUCGAUUUGUAUGGCAUUAUUGGCUGCUCACUGGCUGUGUGACCUUAGGCAAUUUACUUAACCUCUCUGAGCCCCAGCAUCCUCAUCUGAAAAAUAGGAAGAAUGAGGCAGGAUUGCUGUGAAGAUAAAAUGGGUUCCUGCAUGUAAAGAACACAGAGUAGCUCCUGGCAGGCAGUAACUUCCAUGUACGUGUUAGCUUUCUUUACUCCCAUCAUCCUCUGCUUCAUUGUUCCUGAAUCUCCUUAAGUAAACUUUACUUUUUUAAGUGUCUUGUAUAUUCUUUCAGCGUUCCUUGAUGCACAUAUAAGCAGCUAUGAACAUAGUUCUUAUUUUUUCUCAUUUUAAAACAUCGUAAAGAUACUAUAUGGCGCAACAUUAUUCAAUAACAUUUUUUUGUCCCUUUCCUUUCAUUUGAUAGUAUAUCUUGGAGGUUUCUCCACAUCAGGACAAUGAGAACUUCCUCAUUCUUUUUUGCAGCUGCACAUAUAAGGAAGGACUGUCUAACAAUUAGAGCUUGUUUUAAAAUAGAACUCUGUCAACUGGGAGCAUUCAGGCGAAGACUAGACAGAAAUGAUGGAGCCAGGAUUUAUGUGUCAGCGAAGGGGUCGGGCUAGAAUACUUCUACUGUUCUUCCAACGGAGAUUUCCUGAUCCUACCUUAAGUUUUCCCAAGAAGUAAAGAGCAGUUUUAAAAACUCCAGAAACAACAUUGUUCUUUUGUGUCUCUGACUGGGUUCUGACUUGGCGCUCAGCCAGCUCUGGGUCAUUCAGACUAGAGAGGGCGGACCUGUGCCCUCUCAGAAUACAGGGGGCUCUGACUCAAGGUCCUGGCUCAUCCUCCAGCCCCGUCUUGAGCGGACCUGACCUGUUAUUAUUAACUAGAGGGAAGAUGGAUUUGCUCUGGAAGGUUCCAAACCCUUCUUGGGCAGGCAUCGUCUCACUGAGGGGUGUCCUUCAUAGGACAUUGGACUUGUCUUCCAUUUCUCAGCCUGAACUUAAUCACCUUUUUUUUUUUUUUUUUAAGGGCCCUUCCUGCGGCAUAUGGAAGUCCCCCAGGCUAGGGGUCGAAUUGGAGCCACAGCUGGUAGCUUACACCACAGCCAUAGCACCACAGCAACGUGGGAUCCGAGCCAAUGCGGGGUCCGAGCCAAUGCGGGGUCCGAGUCCCAUCUGCGACCUACACCACAGCUUGUGGCAAUGCUGGAUCCUUAUCCCACUGAGUGAGGCCAGGGAUGGAACCCAUGUCCUCAUGGAUGCUAGUCGGGUUCUUAACCCGCUGAGCCACAACAGGAACUCCUGAAAUUCAUCAUCUUAGAUGGAACUUUGGGGGUGGCCAGCAUGAUUCCCACAAGGCAGCAAAAGCUCCAGGGCUUUCCUACCUCCUGCUCUUCCCUGAAUAUCCAGUUGGAAGGGAGGUCAGAGAUUAGCUCAGCUUCCCUCCACCGGAAAUUCCCAUAACUGGGGAGUAAAAGUCUUCUGACUUGUGAUUGCAGAAAGUGAGAAGAGAGCGCAGGCAGUUGCCCACAUGUUGGAAAGCACCCCCCCUCCCCGAUCCCAAUAGACUCUGCAAUGUCCCCUCUAGACAUGAAUCCUUUAGAGGCUUUUUACUCCACAGACCUGUAAAAAUCUAUAAAAAUCAGGAAGUUUCCAUUGUGGCUCAGCCAUAACAAGCACAACUGUAUCCAUGAGGAUGAGGGUUCGAUCCCUGGCCUCACUCAGUGAGUUAAGGAUCCUGUGUUGCUGUGGCUGUGGUGUAGGCCCCAAACUGUAGCUCCAAUUUAACCCCUAGCCAGGGAACUUUCAUAUGCUGCGGUGCGGCCCUAAAAAAAGCCAAACAAAAACAAAAACAAAAACACCAAAAACAAACAAACAAAACUAUAAAAAUCAGAGUUCCCAGUUAGCUCAGCAAUUUCAGGAUCUGGCAUUGUCACUACCAUGGCUCUGGUCACUGCUGUGGCGUGGGUGCAACUCCUGGCCUGGGAACUUCCACAUGCUCUGGACGUAGCAAAAAAAAAAAAAAAA